Podarcis lilfordi (Lilford's wall lizard) is the source of this 70-nucleotide non-coding RNA. The record is from the annotation of a GenBank genome assembly. Lineage: Eukaryota; Metazoa; Chordata; Lepidosauria; Squamata; Lacertidae.
GGUCACAGCUCAGUGGUAGAGCAUCUGCUUUGCAUGCAAAAGGUCUCUGGUUCAAUUCCUGGAAUCUCCA